This 186-nucleotide ribosomal RNA is filed under the name uncultured Bacteroidota bacterium. Its description in RNAcentral is "uncultured Bacteroidetes bacterium partial 16S ribosomal RNA". It matches the Rfam family "Bacterial small subunit ribosomal RNA", at positions 120 to 306 of the family's 1533-position model. The record is from RNAcentral. Lineage: Bacteria; Pseudomonadati; Bacteroidota.
UGCAAUCUACCUUGUACAGGGGGAUAGCCCAGAGAAAUUUGGAUUAAUACCUCAUAGCAUUGCAGGAUGACAUCAUUCAACAAUUAAAGUCACAACGGUAAAAGAUGAGCAUGCGUCCCAUUAGCUAGUUGGUAAGGUAACGGCUUACCAAGGCAACGAUGGGUAGGGGUCCUGAGAGGGAGAUCC